Molecule: ribosomal RNA, 163 nt
Filed under: Lachnospira sp.
Lineage: Bacteria; Bacillati; Bacillota; Clostridia; Lachnospirales; Lachnospiraceae
Description: partial 23S ribosomal RNA
Rfam family: Bacterial large subunit ribosomal RNA
Source: RNAcentral
GAUAAACGCUGAAGGCAUCUAAGCGUGAAGCCCCCCUCAAGAUGAGAUAUCCCAUAACGUAAGUUAGUAAGACCCCUUGAAGACGACGAGGUAGAUAGGUGAAAGGUGGAAGCACGGUGACGUGUGGAGCUGAUUCAUACUAAUAGGUCGAGGGCUUAACCGA